This 1719-nucleotide small RNA is filed under the name Pongo abelii (Sumatran orangutan). Its description in RNAcentral is "retained intron". The record is from RNAcentral. Lineage: Eukaryota; Metazoa; Chordata; Mammalia; Primates; Hominidae.
GAAAAACUUCUGAAGCAGUUUAUGAAGAGGCUGUAAGACUUAGCAGGCUCAUGUGUCCAUGCAGAUAGGUGCAGAUGGUCACAACUCCGGAGUACGGCAGGCUGCUGGAAUCCAGAAUGUGAGCUGGAACUAUGACCAGUCUGCUGUUGUGGCUACUCUGCAUUUAUCAGAGGCCACAGAAAACAAUGUAGCCUGGCAGAGAUUUCUUCCCUCUGGGCCUAUUGCUCUGCUCCCGCUCUCAGACACCUUGAGUUCCUUGGUUUGGUCCACAUCCCAUGAACAUGCAGCAGAGCUAGUUAGCAUGGAUGAGGAAAAAUUUGUGGAUGCCGUUAAUUCUGCCUUUGUGAGUAUUAAUUUACCCAGCUGAUGAUGUGUUGCAGGGGGACAUACAGAAAGGUUUUUUUUUUUGUUUUUGUUUUUUUUUUUUUUGAAACGGAGCCUUGCCAGGCUGGAGCGCAGUGGCGCGAUCUUGGCUCACUGUGCAAUCUCCGCCUCCCGGGUUCAAGCAAUUCUCCUGCCUCAGCUUCCCGAGUGGCUGGGACUACAGGCGUGUGCCACCACACCCAGCUAAUUUUUGUAUUUUUAGUAGAGAUGAAGUUUCACCAUGUUAGCCAGGCUGGUCUCAAACUCCUGACUUCAAGUGAUCUGCCCGCCUUGGCCUCCCAAAGUGCUGGGAUUACAGGCGUGAGCCACCGCACCCAGCCAGAAAGGUGGUUUUGAGUCAGGAAAAAGGAGUAACCAGUCAGCUGUCCCUUUGUACUUUGUAACUAUAAUGCUUGGUCUGGAUUAUGUGGAGGAGGGUAUACACGGAAAUGCAAAACAAUAGAAAUAAUAAAUAAUAACCUUUUGAGGGUUGUGGGCUGCUGUUAGGCUGACUGAAACAGCUGCCUGGGUGGUGGUUAGCAUUGGCCUUUUUUUGAAGCUGUAACACUUGGAUCAUUUUGAACAGUUCUGCUAGGUUCCAGCUUCCUGAACCUUUCAAGCCUGAUUCAUUGGAAGUAUUCCUAGGGAAAGGCUGAGCGAAUUUCAGCAUGGGGCUUAAGAGUAAGCUUAGUAGAUAGAUGUGGGUUCAAUACUGGUUCUACCUGUUCAUUUCCUGGAAAAUGUAAAUAGUAUCACUAACUUCUCCGGAUUGAAUAAAGACUUUCAAAAUGAGAGAACUUUUGUAAAAUCCAUGGAACAUCUUUAGUACAUUGUAGGUGCUCAACAAAUACUAAUAAUUAUUCUGGAGUAGACACAGCCUUUGGAUAAUAUGGGUAGCAGUAUUACUUUUGGAGCCUAAGUGACACUCAAAGCCUGCUACCUUCACACCAAAGACUCCACUGCUCUGUAGUAGCAACAAGAGUAAAGGGAACUGAACAUACUGAAAUGGAUUCCGAGAUAAAUGGUGAACACUACCCUACUGUGGGCCAUUUAGUAUAUAUUCCUGGCACAGGUCUAGGACCUCUGCAGUGCAAAUUGUCCUUUCUAUGUAGCAGGCUCUGGAGAUACUGAGAACAGUCUCCGCUUUCAGGAAGUUCAUAGUGAAGUAAGGAAGACCGUAAAUGACAGUCUCCGUACAGUGAUAGAAGUAUGCCUAGGAUGCUGUGGAAGCAUACAGGGGGAAACACAGAGAAAGACUGGAGGAGUUAAAAAGAGGUGACAUCUUCUGGAUGCUCUGAGGUGUUAUCCUAAUGAAAUAGAGAUGGGCAUUCUAAGCAGAGGAGAGUUGUGGAGGUA